UUUGAAAUUUCGGUUUUGAGACUUUUCGCCGGCUAUGUGAGAGAUCAGCAAUAAUAGAUGUCGGUGGCUUUUUUCAAGUUCUUUAAGGUGACUUUGUGGAUAUAUGAGACUGAAACUGUUAUGGGUUGAACUCUUUUUCGGUGAGGUACUUCAGUGUGCUAUGUCAAUAUUGUAAUUUGGUUUGCUUGACAUUUUCUGGGUUGUGGUGUUGGUUCUGCGUUGAUGGUGACUUUCUAGACUGUUGUCCCUUUCAUUUUGCUGUUUGGUGGUUUUCUCCUGUCUUUAGUAUGAGCUUUUGGGUGCAUUUAUGGUGUUUUGCUAAUGAUCGCUGCAACAGUGCUAUGGUCGGUAGGCUUUUGGUUUGUUUGUGUGCAUGUUGGACACAUUUAAUCCAUUUAUCAAUUGCAUCGUUGCUAUUGAAUUGGGGUGAUUGACGGGUUUAAUUUUUGUUGAGUUUGCCUUUCUUAGUUUGAUUUGUGUAGAUUAUGCUGAGUCUAGCCUAUGGUUGUAGACUUUAGUUUGUAAUGGUGGCCUUUUAAUACAAUCUCUUUUGCAUCUUUUGCAUGUUAAGUAAACAAUUCCUUUCGCAUUUGAAUGCAACCGUGGCUUCUUUUGUUAAAAGCAUUAUUAAUAGCAAAAGGGAAACACAAACAUUAGAAAGGUGAAGGUUGGAUGAGAAUGUACUACGUGGAC
This 693-nucleotide long non-coding RNA is filed under the name Manihot esculenta (cassava). RNAcentral's name for it is "long non-coding RNA (MESC_LNC001483)". The record is from RNAcentral. Lineage: Eukaryota; Viridiplantae; Streptophyta; Magnoliopsida; Malpighiales; Euphorbiaceae.